This 253-nucleotide ribosomal RNA is filed under the name uncultured bacterium. RNAcentral describes it as "partial 16S ribosomal RNA". It matches the Rfam family "Bacterial small subunit ribosomal RNA", at positions 524 to 776 of the family's 1533-position model. The record is from RNAcentral.
UACGAAGGGUGCAAACGUUGCUCGGAAUUAUUGGGCGUAAAGCGCGCGUAGGCGGCUUGGCAAGUCGGAUGUGAAAUCCCUCGGCUCAACCAAGGAAGUGCAUCCGAAACUGCUGAGCUUGAGUACUUAAGAGGAUCGCGGAAUUCCCGGUGUAGAGGUGAAAUUCGUAGAUAUCGGGAGGAACACCAGUGGCGAAGGCGGCUUACUGGUCCAUAACUGACGCUGAGGUGCGAAAGCGUGGGGAGCAAACAGG